RNAcentral lists this ribosomal RNA (253 nucleotides) under uncultured bacterium. RNAcentral describes it as "partial 16S ribosomal RNA". It matches the Rfam family "Bacterial small subunit ribosomal RNA", at positions 524 to 776 of the family's 1533-position model. The record is from RNAcentral.
UACGGAGGGCGCAAGCGUUGUUCGGAAUCAUUGGGCGUAAAGCGCGUGUAGGCGGUUUGGUAAGUCGGGUGUGAAAUCCCGGGGCUUAACCCCGGAACUGCAUUCGAAACUGCCUGGAUAGAGUCCCGGAGGGGAGGGCGGAAGUCCCGGUGUAGAGGUGAAAUUCGUAGAUAUCGGGAGGAACACCAGCGGCGAAGGCGGCCCUCUGGACGGUGACUGACGCUGAGACGCGAAAGCGUGGGGAGCAAACAGG